GUCCAGUGCAAUGGACAGCACGUUGGACUUCUAAUCCGAAGGUUGUGGGUUCGAAUCCCAUCUGGGAUG
Molecule: non-coding RNA, 69 nt
Organism: Trichonephila inaurata madagascariensis
Lineage: Eukaryota; Metazoa; Arthropoda; Arachnida; Araneae; Nephilidae
Source: the annotation of a GenBank genome assembly